This 1458-nucleotide ribosomal RNA is filed under the name metagenome. RNAcentral describes it as "bacterial SSU rRNA". It matches the Rfam family "Bacterial small subunit ribosomal RNA". The record is from RNAcentral.
UUUAAGCAUGCAAGUCGAACGGUAGUAGAGUGCUUGCACUCUAUGGGAGUGGCGAACGGGUGAGUAACACGUAGGUGAUCUAUCUUGAGGUUUGGGAUAGCCUGUGGAAACACAGGGUAAUACCGGAUAUGACCUGUAGAUUGCGGUCUAUAGGGGAAAGCCGCUUAGGCGGCGCCUUGAGCUGAGCCUGCGGCUCAUUAGUUAGUUGGUGGGGUAACGGCUCACCAAGGCGACGAUGAGUAGCCGGCCUGAGAGGGUGAUCGGCCACACUGGGACUGAGACACGGCCCAGACUCCUACGGGAGGCAGCAGCUAAGAAUCUUCCGCAAUGGGGGCAACCCUGACGGAGCGACGCCGCGUGGACGAAGAAGGCCGGAAGGUUGUAAAGUCCUUUUCCUGGGGGAGAAUAAUGAGUGGAGGGAAUGCCAUUCAGAUGACGUGAACCAGGGAAUAAGCCCCGGCUAAUUACGUGCCAGCAGCCGCGGUAACACGUAAGGGGCGAGCGUUGUUCGGAUUUAUUGGGCGUAAAGGGCGUGUAGGCGGUAAGGUAAGUCUGGUGUGAAAUACCCCGGCUCAACCGGGAGAGCGCGCUGGAAACUGUCUUACUUGAGUGAUGGAGGGGGAGCUGGAAUUCCUGGUGUAGGGGUGAAAUCUGUAGAGAUCAGGAAGAACACCGGAGGCGAAGGCGAGCUCCUGGCCAUUUACUGACGCUGAGGCGCGAAAGCGUGGGGAGCGAACAGGAUUAGAUACCCUGGUAGUCCACGCUGUAAACGAUGUGCACUGGGUGUUGGACCUGAGAGGUUCAGUGCCGUAGCAAACGCGUUAAGUGCACCGCCUGGGGAGUAUGCUCGCAAGGGUGAAACUCAAAGGAAUUGACGGGGGCCCGCACAAGCGGUGGAGCAUGUGGUUUAAUUCGACACGCGAGGAACCUUACCAGGGCUUGACAUAGACACGACGGUUGUAGAGAUACAGCUUCUCUUCGGAGCGUGUUUACAGGUGCUGCAUGGCUGUCGUCAGCUCGUGCUGUGAAGUGUUGGGUUAAGUCCCGCAACGAGCGCAACCCUUGCUGUCUGUUGCCAACAGGUUAUGCUGGGGACUCGGACGGUACUGCCGGUGACAAACCGGAGGAAGGUGGGGACGACGUCAAGUCAUCAUGGCCCUUAUGUCCUGGGCUACACACGAGCUACAAUGGCCGGUACAGAGCGAAGCGAAACCGCGAGGUAGAGCAAAUCGCAGAAAGCCGGUCCCAGUUCGGAUUGAAGUCUGAAACCCGACUUCAUGAAGGUGGAAUCGCUAGUAAUCGCGCAUCAGCAUGGCGCGGUGAAUAUGUUCCCGGGCCUUGUACACACCGCCCGUCACACCACCCGAGUUGGGGGUACCCGAAGUCGCUCGUCUAACCGGUAACGGAGGACGGUGCCGAAGGUAUGCCUGGUAAGGGGGGUGAAGUCGUAACAAGGUA